Molecule: long non-coding RNA, 402 nt
Filed under: Oryctolagus cuniculus (rabbit)
Lineage: Eukaryota; Metazoa; Chordata; Mammalia; Lagomorpha; Leporidae
Description: lncRNA (ENSOCUG00000038412.1)
Source: RNAcentral
UGCUGGGAGGGCCAGGAAGGGCGCUCGCCCUGAGGGUCCAUCUCAGCCCAGGCGGUGGUGGCUCCUCCUUACAGCUUCUGUCCUCUGCCCUUCUCUCCUCAGUAGCCACAUCCUUCAGGACUCCCAACCCUGUUAUGGACGCUUCUUCAGAUUGAACUUUCUGUGCUCAAAUUAUUGUGUGGUUUCUGCCUCCUGUUUUGACUCUGACGGAUGCAGUAGAGAGCGGAAAGGUGCAUCCUGGACCUGGAAUCGUUAAGCCACCUCUGAGCAGUCGGCGUGUAUCAGAACUUCCUCACUGGGCCGGCGGCAGAGGGGCAGAAGGAAGUACAACGCGAGGGGUGUCCUGUCUACAUGUUGAUGACAGCCAUCGGUGGACAUGCAUUUCUUCUUGGCUGUGCUGUG